CACGUGUGCAACCUGCCUUUAUCUGGGGGAUAGCCUUUCGAAAGGAAGAUUAAUACCCCAUAAUAUAUUGAGUGGCAUCACUUGAUAUUGAAAACUCCGGUGGAUAGAGAUGGGCACGCGCAAGAUUAGAUAGUUGGUAGGGUAACGGCCUACCAAGUCAAUGAUCUUUAGGGGGCCUGAGAGGGUGAUCCCCCACACUGGUACUGAGACACGGACCAGACUCCUACGGGAGGCAGCAGUGAGGAAUAUUGGACAAUGGGUGAGAGCCUGAUCCAGCCAUCCCGCGUGAAGGACGACGGCCCUAUGGGUUGUAAACUUCUUUUGUAUAGGGAUAAACCUACUCUCGUGAGAGUAGCUGAAGGUACUAUACGAAUAAGCACCGGCUAACUCCGUGCCAGCAGCCGCGGUAAUACGGAGGGUGCAAGCGUUAUCCGGAUUUAUUGGGUUUAAAGGGUCCGUAGGCGGAUCUGUAAGUCAGUGGUGAAAUCUCAUAGCUUAACUAUGAAACUGCCAUUGAUACUGCAGGUCUUGAGUAAAGUAGAAGUGGCUGGAAUAAGUAGUGUAGCGGUGAAAUGCAUAGAUAUUACUUAGAACACCAAUUGCGAAGGCAGGUCACUAUGUUUAACUGACGC
Molecule: ribosomal RNA, 632 nt
Filed under: Chryseobacterium scophthalmum
Lineage: Bacteria; Pseudomonadati; Bacteroidota; Flavobacteriia; Flavobacteriales; Weeksellaceae
Description: bacterial SSU rRNA
Rfam family: Bacterial small subunit ribosomal RNA
Source: RNAcentral